GAGACCCACGCCGACAGUUGCCAGCAUGUCCUCCGGGAUGGUGGGGACACUGUUGGGACCGCCUCUGCUAAAGAGGAGGAAGGAAUGGGCAACGGUAGGUCAGCAUGCCCCGAAUUAUCCGGGCUACACACGGGCUACAAUGGUCAGGACAAUGGGUAUCGACACCGAGAGGUGAAGGCAAUCUCUUAAACCUGUCCUUAGUUCGGAUUGUGGGCUGCAACUCGCCCACAUGAAGCUGGAAUCCGUAGUAAUCGCGUCUCAAAAUGGCGCGGUGAAUAU
RNAcentral lists this ribosomal RNA (279 nucleotides) under uncultured archaeon. RNAcentral describes it as "partial 16S rRNA". It matches the Rfam family "Archaeal small subunit ribosomal RNA", at positions 1047 to 1325 of the family's 1478-position model. The record is from RNAcentral.